This 639-nucleotide ribosomal RNA is filed under the name Sporisorium scitamineum. Its description in RNAcentral is "LSU rRNA". It matches the Rfam family "Eukaryotic large subunit ribosomal RNA", at positions 43 to 662 of the family's 3401-position model. The record is from RNAcentral. Lineage: Eukaryota; Fungi; Basidiomycota; Ustilaginomycetes; Ustilaginales; Ustilaginaceae.
UCAAUAAGCGGAGGAAAAGAAACUAACAAGGAUUCCCCUAGUAACGGCGAGUGAAGAGGGAAGAGCCCAAGAUUGAAAGCUGGCGUCUUCGGCGUCCGCAUUGUAAUCUCAAGAAGUGUUUUCCGCUUCGGACCAUGCCUAAGUCCCUUGGAAAAGGGCAUCAUAGAGGGUGAUAAUCCCGUACAUGGCAUGGAGCGCCCGAAGCUUUGUGAUUACACAUUCUACGAGUCGAGUUGUUUGGGAAUGCAGCUCAAAAUGGGUGGUAAAUGCCAUCUAAGGCUAAAUAUUGGGGAGAGACCGAUAGCGAACAAGUACAGUGAUGGAAAGAUGAAAAGAACUUUGAAAAGAGAGUUAAACAGUACGUGAAAUUGCCAAAAGGGAAGGGUAGGAGGUCAGAGAUGCGUCUUGGAAUUCAGCCUUGCUUUUGCUUGGUGUUUUUUCCAAUUUGCAGGCCAACGUCGGUUUUGGGCACUGGAGAAGGGUAGGAGGAACGUAGCACCUCUCGGGGUGUGUUAUAGCCUCCUACUGGAUACAGCGACCGAGACCGAGGAUAGCAGCGUACUCGCAAGAGCGGGCCUUUGGGCACCUUUACGCUUAGGGCGUUGGCAUAAUGGCCCUCUACCACCCGUCUUGAAACAC